CGGACUGCGGUGCCGCCUGCGCCGUUGCCGCGGCCAAACCGCCCGCAGCAGCUCCGAUAAUGAGACUGCGCCGCGUUGCCGAGCCAUUCUGGUCUGUCAUGACACCCUCCGGAAUUUUUGAAACCAUUUACUUCUGGGUUCUGAAAUAAGCCGCCAGAGCCGCAAUGUCACCUGCCUCGAGCCGUCCUGCGAUGGUUUGCAUCACGGGAUUGUCGCGCUGCUUGUCCUUGUAGGCGUUCAUCACGGCGAUGAACUGGUCUUCCGGCCAUCCCGUGAUUUUCGGAAUACCCUGAGCCGCGCCCGAAGCACGGUGACAGGUUACACAUUCCGUCGAUAAAUACUCUCCAAGUUCCCGG
RNAcentral lists this unclassified non-coding RNA (356 nucleotides) under Hevea brasiliensis (rubber tree). Lineage: Eukaryota; Viridiplantae; Streptophyta; Magnoliopsida; Malpighiales; Euphorbiaceae. The record is from RNAcentral.